Molecule: ribosomal RNA, 468 nt
Filed under: uncultured bacterium
Lineage: Bacteria
Description: partial 16S ribosomal RNA
Rfam family: Bacterial small subunit ribosomal RNA
Source: RNAcentral
GACGAACGCUGGCGGCGUGCUUAACACAUGCAAGUCGAACGGAAAGGCCCUGCUUUUGUGGGGUGCUCGAGUGGCGAACGGGUGAGUAACACGUGAGUAACCUGCCCUUGACUUUGGGAUAACUUCAGGAAACUGGGGCUAAUACCGGAUAGGAGCUCCUGCUGCAUGGUGGGGGUUGGAAAGUUUCGGCGGUUGGGGAUGGACUCGCGGCUUAUCAGCGUGUUGGUGGGGUAGUGGCUUACCAAGGCUUUGACGGGUAGCCGGCCUGAGAGGGUGACCGGCCACAUUGGGACUGCGAUACGGCCCAGACUCCUACGGGAGGCAGCAGUGGGGAAUAUUGCACAAUGGGCGGAAGCCUGAUGCAGCAACGCCGCGUGCGGGAUGAAGGCCUUCGGGUUGUAAACCGCUUUCGCCUGUGACGAAGCGUGAGUGACGGUAAUGGGUAAAGAAGCACCGGCUAACUACGUG